RNAcentral lists this long non-coding RNA (908 nucleotides) under Parus major (Great Tit). RNAcentral's name for it is "lncRNA (ENSPMJG00000003851.1)". Lineage: Eukaryota; Metazoa; Chordata; Aves; Passeriformes; Paridae. The record is from RNAcentral.
UAGGGCUAAUCUAAUAUGAUGCAUUACCUGAUGUGUACAGACUUUGCAUAUAAGCUGCAGUGUUUGUUUAUUCAGCCAUAAAAUGGAGCAAACCAGUUAAUUGUGUGACUUGGUAACUGCAUAAGUACUUCUCCUGUGCAGCCAAGUGCUUAAAAUACAGAUGAGUUGAACUGUGUGCACCCAAAUGACAUAUGGACUUAAAGGAAGGCAGAUAUGACUUAUAUUAAAGCUGAUACAAUGUUUACUUUUUGUUUGAAAAAAUAAAUUCACUCUCUUGUUUUACUAGGAAUGGCCCAAUAUUGUCCUUACAAAGAUAAAUGUGACAAAAUUUCAUCACUUCUAUGCUAAAAAUAUAAUCCAGAGCAUGACCUCAGUGAAAGGUUUAAAGUUUUCAGGAUCAGACCCAAAAUGAUAAGUGGAAAGGGGGAAAUAAAAAGUAUUUUGCUGCUUAGAUACCUUCACAACCCUUAGGCAGAGCAUGUGCCAGCUCUCCCAUCAGCAAGGUGAAGAAAUCAAACUACCAGGGAUCCCAGGGUUAAGAAAGCUCCUGACAACCUCCUGAGGUCACUUCAGACAAAGCCAGCUCAGGAAUCAGAUCCUGUCUCAGCUCCUGUUCAAGAACCUCGCUGUCAGAAGUCUGCAAGUGCUGCCAUGAGGUGCUGCAAGGCAACAAACUGAUGAGACAGCUGCAAAGAGACCCUGAGCAGUGGUGGAAUGAAACUGGGAGAGCAGGGAUUCAUCCAUCCAAAGAACCAGGAGGUUUUUAUCACUGCAGACAGUGCUGAUCCUCAGGUCCACAAAAGAAAAGUUAAGGAAUGGAGAUAACCUGUGUGUGGCAGGAUGCAAAAGCUCUCUAGGGGUAGGACAUAAAAUAAUAAAUGAGUUGAUGAUAAGAGGUAAAGAGAUCA